GUCCACGCCCUAACGAUGUCGACUGGUUGUUGGGUUGACACUCUCAGUAACGAAGCUAACGCGUGAAGUCGACCGCCUGGGAGUACGGCCGCAAGGUUAAACUCAAAGGAAUUGACGGGACCCGCACAAGCGGUGGAUUAUGUGGAUUAAUUCGAUGCAACGCGAAACCUUACCUACCCUUGACAUGUCCGAGAGCCCGUAGAGAUAUGGGUGUGCCCCGAAAGGGAAUCGGAACACAGGUGCUGCAUGGCUGUCGU
This 257-nucleotide ribosomal RNA is filed under the name uncultured bacterium. RNAcentral's name for it is "partial 16S ribosomal RNA". It matches the Rfam family "Bacterial small subunit ribosomal RNA", at positions 793 to 1055 of the family's 1533-position model. The record is from RNAcentral.